UCUACGUUGUCAGUACAUGGAUGGGGAGUUUUGCAGCGUGCAGCAUGUUGUAUCACCUGUUGCUGCAGACAGUAAAGACACUACAGUCAGCAGGUGUAUCACCCGGUCAGCCUCACCUCCUACAGUAUAAUCUUAAUGACGGUGAAGACGUGGAGAAGGCCGUCAACGACUUGUCACAGGCGGCGAUAGGAGAGUCGUUGUACGUCAUCGCUGAUGAAGCGGGUCCUGAGUACAUAUCAAAGAGUUUCCAGACUUUCUGUGAGUUGCUGCUGACACAAGUUCCUCAUCUCCAUCUGUGGGCGGCAAGUUGUUUCCAUGGACACGCACCCGCCGGCUGGCAAGUGGAAUGCUUAACCAGACCCCUCCGCUCUACACCGGUUGUCGUCAGGGAAGUCGAGCAGGACGAGUGGAUCACUAGACACCGUCUUGUCUUGCCGUACAGAGAGCGAGGUGGGCCCGACCACACAGACGGCCCGCCAGUCACUCGACUGUAUCACCGAGGUCAGGGUCACUCAGGUCGCAGGCCAGGUGACUGUAUCACGUGCGGUCGUGAGGUGGCCACCUUCCUACACAGUCUCCGUGAUGGUGCUCGGGCACAAAUCUUGACAACAUCCACCCUUGAAGGCCCCACAUCGUCACCUAAACUGCAGUGGAGAGACAUGCUGGUGUUGUGCUGGGGACAGGCUACAAUGGACAUGGGUAUGAUCACAGGACUGCAAGAAGCGGGUAUCCCAGUGCGGGUGAUGACGGACGAUGACAUCGAGGACGUGGCCACGGCCCGCAGUGACGUGGUGUGGGUUGUCGAUACUAAUGGUGUUCGUGGUCUGGAGAGAAAAGUCGUCGUCUGCGUUGAACUUGAUCCCACUUUUAAUAUUUUGUCCAGCCCUGCCCGACUCCUGUCCAUGUCCCGUUGUACAUCACAACUUGUAAUUGUCUUCGCUACUGACUAGCCCCCAGUACAAUAAAUCACCUCGAAGCUGAUGAAUGUGAUAAAAAACCAGCCGACCACACUGGCUGCUGUACUAACUGUAGCUCGAUAGACGCCUUAAUGCAGCUUUACUUGAGCACAUAAUUUUUUAAUGGUUUUACUACAGAAAUGGGGAAACGUGACAUCAUUUGUCAUCGACCUAGUUUAUCGAGAAUGACUGACUGUCAGGGUUCUAGACCACGUGCACAUUUGACUACGAGAUGAAAUCAGCGUCAACACGAUUCUAGCAUUUUACUCUUGGCUCAUCUUGACUUUUAAGUGGUGCUUUACAACAACAACAGCAUAAACAACAACAACAACGCAUACAAAGAUUUUGUUAAAUGACAAUCUUAUGUGGCCAUAGAGCAAAAGUGACUGGCCAGGUGAUUGUGUGACGUGCGGUCGUAAGGUGGCCAGCUUCCUACACAGUCUCCGUGUUGGUGCUCUGGCACAAAUCUUGACAACAUCCACCCUCGAAGGCACCACAACACCACCUAAGCUGCAGUGGAGAGACAUGCUGGUGUUGUGCUGGGCACAGGCUAGAGUGAACAUGGGUAUGAUCACAGGACUGCAAGAAGCGGGUAUCCCAGUGCGGGUGAUGACGGAUGAUGACAUCGAGGAAGUCGCCACGGCCCGCAGUGACGUGGUGUGGGUGGCGGAUACUAAUGUUGUUCGUGUCUGGAGAGAAAAGUCGUCGUCUACGUUGAACUUGAUCCAACUUUUAGUAUUUUGUCCAGCCCUGCCCGACUCCACUCCAUGUCCCGCUGUACAUCACAACUUGUAAUUGUCUCCCCUGCUGACUAGUCUUCAGUAUAAUUAAUCACCACUAAGCUGAUGAAUGUUAUUU
This 1814-nucleotide unclassified non-coding RNA is filed under the name Pomacea canaliculata. Its description in RNAcentral is "uncharacterized LOC112574901, transcript variant X1". The record is from RNAcentral. Lineage: Eukaryota; Metazoa; Mollusca; Gastropoda; Architaenioglossa; Ampullariidae.